Molecule: ribosomal RNA, 253 nt
Filed under: uncultured bacterium
Lineage: Bacteria
Description: partial 16S ribosomal RNA
Rfam family: Bacterial small subunit ribosomal RNA
Source: RNAcentral
UACGUAAGGGGCAAGCGUUGUCCGGAUUUAUUGGGCGUAAAGAGCGUGUAGGCGGUUAGGUAGGUCCGUUGUGAAAACUCGAGGCUCAACCUCGAGACGCCGAUGGAAACCAUCUGACUAGAGUCCGGAAGAGGAGAGUGGAAUUCCUGGUGUAGCGGUGAAAUGCGCAGAUAUCAGGAGGAACACCGAUGGCGAAGGCAGCUCGCUGGGACGGUACUGACGCUGAGGCGCGAAAGCGUGGGGAGCAAACAGG